AACGAACGCUGGCGGCAGGCUUAACACAUGCAAGUCGAGCGCCUCGCAAGAGGAGCGGCAGCCGGGUGCGUAACGCGUGGGAACGUACCCUUAUCUUCGGAAUAGCUCUGGGAAACUGGAAGUAAUACCGAAUGUGCCCUUAGGGGGAAAGAUUUAUCGGAUAAGGAUCGGCCCGCGUUGGAUUAGCUAGUUGGUGGGGUAAAGGCCUACCAAGGCGACGAUCCAUAGCUGGUCUGAGAGGAUGAUCAGCCACAUUGGGACUGAGACACGGCCCAAACUCCUACGGGAGGCAGCAGUGGGGAAUAUUGGACAAUGGGCGCAAGCCUGAUCCAGCCAUGCCGCGUGAGUGAUGAAGGCCUUAGGGUUGUAAAGCUCUUUCACCGGAGAAGAUAAUGACGGUAUCCGGAGAAGAAGCCCCGGCUAACUUCGUG
Molecule: ribosomal RNA, 431 nt
Filed under: uncultured bacterium
Lineage: Bacteria
Description: partial 16S ribosomal RNA
Rfam family: Bacterial small subunit ribosomal RNA
Source: RNAcentral